RNAcentral lists this ribosomal RNA (270 nucleotides) under uncultured archaeon. Its description in RNAcentral is "partial 16S ribosomal RNA". It matches the Rfam family "Archaeal small subunit ribosomal RNA", at positions 477 to 747 of the family's 1478-position model. The record is from RNAcentral.
CAGCACCUCAAGUGGUCAGGAUGAUUAUUGGGCCUAAAGCAUCCGUAGCCUGCUUUGUCAGUUUUCGGUUAAAUCUGUACGCUCAACGUACAGGCUGCCGGGAAUACUGCAGCGCUAGGGAGUGGGAGAGGUAGACGGUACUCGGUAGGAAGGGGUAAAAUCCUUUGAUCUAUUGAUGACCACCUGUGGCGAAGGCGGUCUACCAGAACACGUCCGACGGUGAGGGAUGAAAGCUGGGGGAGCAAACCGGAUUAGAUACCCGAGUAGUCC